AGGCACCUGUGAACCAUGUUGGCAUGAAGCAUUAAUGGGUCUCAUUUCCCUUCUGGUGGGUGCACCUGAGGGAAACUUACAAGGCAGCUGGUUGUCGAAGAAGCCAAAACCAGAAGCUGACAGCAAAUCAUAAAGCCCCUGGGUCUCCAUCCACCCCGUUGGCUGCCAGCUCUGAAUUCACAUCAUGGCCUUGGUCACUGUGUUGCUCUCUGCAUCUCUCCUGGUGUGGUAAGGACCGGAGGGCUCUUACUCAAACCCACCUCACCUGGCACAUUGAAACACAGCAGCAACAGCAAUCCAGAUCCUUGAGGCCUUCCCACCAUACUGACUUGGAGCUGAGACAUGUUACUUGCUUUGGCCAACGACACGAGAAGGCGUGAGUCUUGGAAAGACCCAAGAGUAGUGCUUGAUUUCUCUCGCUGUUCUUGGGAACCCUGCAACUACGGCCAUGUGGAGGCGCCCAGACUACCCAGUCCAAUGAUGACAGACUUGUAGCCCAUUAGCCUCCAUUAGUCCUGCCAACUGCCACACAUGAGUGAGGCCGUGGAUCAUCAGCUGACUGCAAACACGAGUGAGCCCAGCUAACCCCUCAGUGAAGAAGAGAGCCUUCCCU
Hyaena hyaena (striped hyena) is the source of this 613-nucleotide long non-coding RNA. RefSeq lists it as uncharacterized. The transcript is spliced from 3 exons. NCBI's taxonomy places the organism in Eukaryota, Metazoa, Chordata, Mammalia, Carnivora, Hyaenidae. The record is from RefSeq and is a predicted model, not a curated record.